This is a non-coding RNA of Penaeus vannamei (Pacific white shrimp), 168 nucleotides long. NCBI's taxonomy places the organism in Eukaryota, Metazoa, Arthropoda, Malacostraca, Decapoda, Penaeidae. The record is from RefSeq and is a predicted model, not a curated record.
GCAGGUGCUGUGUUAGAGGUUAAGUGGCAGGUGCUGUGUUAGAGGUUAAGUGGCAGGUGCUGUGUUAGAGGUUAAGUGGCAGUGCUGUGUUAGAGGUUAAGUGGCAGGUGCUGUGUUAGAGGUUAAGUGGCAGGUGCUGUGUUAGAGGUUAAGUGUGCAGUGUGCUGU